AGUGAACGCUGGCGGUAGGCCUAACACAUGCAAGUCGAACGGCAGCACAGUAAGAGCUUGCUCUUACGGGUGGCGAGUGGCGGACGGGUGAGGAAUACAUCGGAAUCUACUUUUUCGUGGGGGAUAACGUAGGGAAACUUACGCUAAUACCGCAUACGACCUACGGGUGAAAGCAGGGGAUCUUCGGACCUUGCGCGAUUGAAUGAGCCGAUGUCGGAUUAGCUAGUUGGCGGGGUAAAGGCCCACCAAGGCGACGAUCUGUAGCUGGUCUGAGAGGAUGAUCAGCCACACUGGAACUGAGACACGGUCCAGACUCCUACGGGAGGCAGCAGUGGGGAAUAUUGGACAAUGGGCGCAAGCCUGAUCCAGCCAUACCGCGUGGGUGAAGAAGGGCUUCGGGUUGUAAAGCCCUUUUGUUGGGAAAGAAAAGCAGCAGGUUAAUACCCCGCUGUUCUGACGGUACCCAAAGAAUAAGCACCGGCUAACUUCGUG
This 492-nucleotide ribosomal RNA is filed under the name uncultured bacterium. RNAcentral's name for it is "partial 16S ribosomal RNA". It matches the Rfam family "Bacterial small subunit ribosomal RNA", at positions 29 to 507 of the family's 1533-position model. The record is from RNAcentral.